GUCGUAUUAAGUCAAAAUCCAAUCCAUGCCGUGGCACAGGGCACAGGCAGCGUAUGCUACGCUGUGUGUUCGACGCAAAGCGGGAAAUAUAUAAACAAAUGACUGACAAAGAGUAUUCCUUAAAAUUGUGGCAUGCUGAUGACCCACCUCCAAGGCACACACUCAAUCUCAGUCCUAUGUAUUUCAAAAGACUGCAGGGAACUGCUUCAGGUGACGGUGGACGUCCUACAUCUGAUAACCCCAGGGUAAACAGAAACAUCUCUGCUACUAUGGAUCGAAACGUUAUACUAGCUGGGUUUCGCAUCCUGAGGAGCAAUGGGCCUGUGUAUGACUGCAUUUCUGAUGUGGCAGUUUUUCAGGCGGCAAGGUUCGGGGACUUUCUGGAGAAUCUCCGUGACGCUGGGACAUGUUUUUAGAGUUGAAUGGAGUUGAAGAGUUGAAUUAAGAAGUUAGAAGUCAAAUCAAUUAUGGAACUGUGAGCUAAAGACAGUUUCAGUGCUGCUUGCUGUGCAAACGUAAUUAUUAAUUACAGAACUGGUACUUUCCAGAGCCCUUUCAGAAUGUCCUGAGCUGCCUGCACUGUGAGUUCUCAGUGUCUCACACCUCUAGCAGGUUCGUUAACAUUUAGUUUCUUGAGAUGUGCACUCCACAUUUUCGUUGCUGCUACCAAAGCGUGCAUCCAAUGGACAGUAGAGAAAAUCAAAGCUCCUGAUAUGCACAGGUUCCAGAAGGUAAGGUACAAAGUAAUGAUGAUGACAUUCAACUUGCAAGCAAAGAGUGUGCAACUUCCACAGGGUACCUUGGCACUCUGGGGCCUCCUUUACCCCCCCUCCUUUCUGAAUGCUCAUAAAUGGUAGUCAACCAGAAUCGCAGGCAUGGGGGGUGUUGCAAAAGAUGAGGGUGGAGGGUUACAAGAGCUCAAUGUAUCAUUAUUGAUAGGUGGCUGAACCUGAACGAACAAGGUCUCCCCUGCAGGGGGUGCAAAGAAAUAUGUGUUGCCAAACGUUUGGGGGGGGGGGGGGUCUGCAUAAAUCACUACUCAUGAGUAUGGGACAAGUGAUAUAUGGGAGUCGUCUCGUGAUAGUGGUCCCAUUAAGACUAUGCUUUGUACUCUCACGAAGGGAAGCGAUGUUCCUCAUAUGAUGAAAACGGCCAUUGUCGAUGAAGAAUAUGUAAGCUAACUGAACUAAGUGGAGUAGGUAAGUGAAGACGAAGCAGAUAAUAUUACAUCCUGUCUUGUUAGGUGGUUCUCAUGCCCACCAAGAGAUGAUGAUUAUAUUUAUUUAUUUAUUUAUUCAUUUAAUUAUGUUAAGGGCCCCCAUUGGAGGUUUUACAUAAUGGAGGGGCGAAACUUUGCUCUCUUUGCAGUUGCGACGAAUACUUCGCGUUACAGACCGUAAACAACAGCAGUAAUAACAGGACUAACACAGAGAGGAGUAACAUCAGAAAUAAGAAUAGGCUACAAUAAUCACAAAAUAUAUCAGACGGAAAGAAAACCAAUAAUGACGGUGGCUAGAGCAACAGAAGGAAACGAGAGAUGAUUUUAAUGGUAUGGGCGUGACUGCUUGAACCAGAGCAUUAUACAAUGCGUUACGCUAUGUAAAGUUGUGUAAUGGCAGCCUCGAAACGAGCAGAAUCAUGAAUAUAGACAAGAAAUUCCGGCCAAGUAUGCUCACCUGCUGUCUCCGUUUGCUCACUCAUGCUUUACUCAUUUGUCACAUUGAGCAAGAGUGAGCAUGCUCAUGAGUGUGGAUAAUUCAUGUUGUGUGUGUUGUCAUAUUCCACUUUUAGUAUACCCCAUAGGGCACGAGUUGAACUCCAGCAUUGCACUUCCUGUCUCCUGUUCCUUCUGGAUUUCCUUGCAAACAUUGUUUGAGACGUGAUGGCACCAUUACCUAUGAAGUUUGCAGAGGAGAAACUAAUGUGGGCCGCUUGCUGUGCAGCUCGGUAACAGAAUGAGUCAUGUCGCACUGUAGUGGUUUGGGUACUGUGGGGAAACAUACACAAGAGCGUGUGAUCUCGCGCAGUGCCUGCAUUAUGGGAAUAUGGCAGGAUUCCAAAUAUUUAACGGCAUAGAGGCAGCACGAGAUAGAGACAGCACUGGAUAGAAAAGUCUUUACUCCCUGAAAAGUUGAAUGAAGUGAGAACCAGGUUGGAGUAUCUUGCAGGAGGGCGAGGAAUGUGAAUGAGGUCCGGGACUGCGUACACAGAACCACAGACUUGGUGUCGUGGAUGCGUUCCAGAACAGCAAACCAGGUUCAGCUGUCAUGAGAUCAUGCCCGAGAGCAAGUGCCAGGAAGGAGCCACCAUUGAAAAGCCGGGAGCCAGUGUCCAGAAUCGAUGUUGCCGCUCUCCCACGAGCCAGACCACCAUCACGCUAGAACUGCGGCUGCCUCUUGCACUCUGGUUUGCUACCCAUUCGUCUUUUCAUCUCGUUCUCCUUGACCAUGACGCACACAGCACACUACUUCUAGCGUGUGAAAAGUGAGUGAGAAAAGCACGUGAAAAAUGGUGAGGUAAUCCCCUGAGUUGGUAUAUGCAUGCAUUAACCCCCAUAUAUGCAAGCACAAAUAGGAUAAUAUACUCAUAUUUCCCAAAACCAUAGCAGAACGGGACAGACUGCCAUCAAGAGCCUUUGACUCUGAAAGUAUAUCUAAUUCCUACCCAGACGCUUGAGGUUGUUUCUUGGUUUUAGCUAUAUCAUUAUCUUAUUAGUUACUUCUAAUGUUUAUAGUGCACUUUUGGUUUUUAUGCAUCUUGAAUAUCGGGUUUUAUUUGAGAAGCCGUAAAACAGGGUAAUGCCGGGAGGAAAAUAACAUAAAAGCACUUCCCACAUUUCAGAUGAAUACGAGACGGUGAGCCUCCGUCCCGAGUGUGCAGCACUUAGCGUUCUCUAUUCGUCAUAUGGGUGGCUGAGUUUGCACUUUGGCAACCUCAUUUUUGGGGUUUCUAAGGUUUUACUCAAUGUAGCAAUGAUGCAAACCUAGGGAAAAAUUGGGUUUUAUCUGGUUUAACCUUAAAGGGGCACGAAACAGCUCGACAACCAUUGUCCAAUUAUUAUGCUCCAUGAAAGAACGCAACUCACGGUAUCCGAAUACGAAAUUUAUUUACUUCUAGGCAGUAUCUUUACCAGGAAACAAUGCCACUCAACGAGCAUAAUCCGUGUGAUCCUCUCCUUCAUCCUUGGAACGGGGUCACGUCCACAAUGUUCCAACGUUUAGCAACACUGCAUUCCAGGCGCUGGAGGUGGGGGAGAUUUUGCUCUCAAGGCCAUUGACGGGCCCUACUGAGACAAGCUGCAACUCGUUAAGGAACCAGUUGAGGGAACAUCGUGCUGACCUCGCGCAGCAAUACAGCACCGAAAACAUAGCGCACACAUGAAAUGGAACAUUGCAGGCUUUUUGUACCGUUUGAUCUGGCUACCUUAGGAUUGACAGGUGGAAAGAUGUUUAGAAUUGACUUCACUUCCCGAUAUUACAACAAUAUCAGAGUAUAAGCAUUCUGCAUUUUGAAUGGUUGAUGGUACAUGACGUCAAACUGCCAUAUGACUAUUGCCGCCAGUGCAUCACAGAGCGGGGCACAAGCGCGAAAGAGUGCAGUGAAUAUUUGGUCUGUUUGGAGCCAUUAUUUACUUUUUCGUGGCAACAAUUUUAGGAAAAUGUUCACCAUCGGCAACAUAUCACAAUGCAUUAAAAAAAAGUGCACCUCCGAUGCACGUUUAUUGUUCCUCUAAAACAUGAGGCUGUAUGUGUACGUGCAGAGGUUGGUACUUGUGACUCCUGCUCACUCCUGCUCCUCAUCUCAGCUCCUGCUCAUCUCUCAGUUUGUUCACACAUGCUUUACUCAUUUGCCAUAUUGAGCAAGAGCGAGCAUGCUCGUGAGUGUGGUUUUUACCAAAUAAGCAGUUUGGACAUAUUUGUCGAGAAUGCCACAUUCUUCUGUGCAGUAGCUGUGGCCAUUUUGACCAUGAGACUGCCCCUUGCCCUCCAGAUAUUGAGAAGGGCUUCAUGGUCUAUUGCGAUGGUUAGGAUGAUAGUAGGGGGGAUCCACUUAGUGGUACUCAUCUAUCUGACCUGCAUAGUGCCUGCAGUAAUCCGGAGUCUUUUCAUUUCUGCUCAGCUCUCCGGUUGCUCACUCGUGCUCGCUCAUUCACUCACUCCCCGCUUCAUUCUUUGUCUGCUCACUGAGGCUAACAGUUCAUUCGCCACAUUGAGCAUGAGUGAGCAUGUCUAUGAGUUAGUUUUACCGAGGUAUGUGUGUGUUUAGUGCUGCCAGAUCGGUUCUUUGUGUGUAUCAGUGUCAGCACCUGUGCUUGGGCCCUUCUCUGCAAUAUUCUGUACAUAAAAUUAAAUAAAUAAACAUAGCAGCAACAUUAGACGUUCAAACCAGUCUGAAUCUGUUCAACAAAACAAAAGUUCCAGUUGGUUGACACUGGUCAAAAACAAGUGUGAUUUUAGUGAUGUUAUAUUGUAGAAAAUAUCUGGAGAAAUACGAACAACAGCAUAUAUAUGCAAGUUGAUUCAUGUUUGAAAUGGUGUUCAUGUUGAAAACAAACUGUCACUCCCUCCACAAGAAAUUUUGGGAUCACCUGAUACGCUAUGCCAAGAAUGCAAAAGUACUAAUUGUGGUAACAAGUGUGGACUAAUAUACAAUUUAUCUGCC
Long non-coding RNA from Ornithodoros turicata, 4662 nucleotides. RefSeq lists it as uncharacterized. The record is from RefSeq and is a predicted model, not a curated record. Lineage: Eukaryota; Metazoa; Arthropoda; Arachnida; Ixodida; Argasidae. The transcript is spliced from 2 exons.